Saimiri boliviensis boliviensis (Bolivian squirrel monkey) is the source of this 695-nucleotide non-coding RNA. Lineage: Eukaryota; Metazoa; Chordata; Mammalia; Primates; Cebidae. The record is from the annotation of a RefSeq genome assembly.
AUGAUUCUGCUGGUGGACCUGGCACCCACCCAGGAGACGGUGAACCUGACCUGGUCCCGCGCCAGUAAGAAGCCUGUGCUCCACGUGACCCCAAAGCAGCAGAGGCAGCGCAAUGGCACUGUCACCAUCACAUCCACCCUGCCAGUGGCCACCAGAGACUGGAUCGAGGGGGAGACCUAUCACCGCAGGGUGACCCACCCCCACCUGCCCAGGGCCCUUGUGCGGUCCAUGACCAAGAUGAGCGGCCCGCGCGCUGCCCUGGAAGUCCACGUGUUUGCAAUGCCAGAGGAGCUGGGGAACCGGGACAAGCGCAUCCUCACCUGCCUGAUCUAGAACUUCCUGCCCAUGGACAUCUCGGUGCAGUGGCUGCACAGCGGGGUGGUGCUCCAGCCCUCCCGGUACAGCACCAUGCCGCCCCACAGGACCAAGGGCUCCGGCUUCUUCGUCUUCAGCCGUCUGGAGGUGACCAGGGCCGAAUGGGAGCAGAAAAACGAAUUCAUCUGCCGUGCGAUCCACGAGGCAGUGAAAGACUCACAGACCGUCGAGAAAGCGGUGUCUGUAAAUCUUGGUAAAUGACGCCCUCCUGCCUCUCUCCCUCCCAGGGCUCGGUCCAGCGGUGCGGUGGGGAGGGCUGGCCAGACCUUCUGUCCACUGUUGCCACGACCCCAGGAAGCCACCCCCAAUAAACAGUGCAU